RNAcentral lists this transfer RNA (61 nucleotides) under human gut metagenome. It matches the Rfam family "tRNA", at positions 8 to 63 of the family's 71-position model. Rfam says of the family: Transfer RNA (tRNA) molecules are approximately 80 nucleotides in length. The record is from RNAcentral.
CGUAGCUCAGCUGGAUAGAGCAACGGCCUUCUAAGCCGUGGGUCGGGGGUUCGAAUCCCUU